GGAAAAGUCUACCAGAAAGAGAUUUUCCAACCGUAUAAUACCCAAUGGAAAAAGUCUCCCACUAUUUCCAACUAAACCCUAGCCUCCUUACUCACAAAACAUAUUUCUUUUCUUUCUUCCACCUGCACGACCCAGAGCCUCCUUUACUCACAAUCCUAGAUGUUCUUAUUGUUUUCAAACCAUAAACUAUUAUCCCAAAUUCUCCAAUUCAUUCAUCCACUAUUAUUCCAAAUUCAACACAGUAAAACAAUCCUUACAUAAACUAACAAGGCAAAUUGCUAGAUGUUCUUAUUGUUUUUGUAGAUCGGAACAAAGAAAGGGGAAAGAAAGUUUCACAAAUCCGACGGAGCUCCAGUGUAACGCAGGCUUCAACACCACACGGAACCGGAGUCGUUCUGGCCACCGGAGUCGCAACCCCCGUUCAUGACGUCGAAAGGAGUCGGCCGAGCAUCCGCGACGAUCAGACGCAUCACCGCGAACACCACCACACAACCGCCUUGCUACGGCGUGAACUCUUCCGCUACUGUCAAGUUCUAACAUCCAGGGAUUUGUCAAAAUUAUACAUAAUGGAUAUGGCACUGUGAAGUAGUAGCAAAGUCAAAUGUGUCCCAAAGAGAUAAUGUUAGUGUAGAAAUGGAUGAUCGUCCGGAAGACAUGAUGCGUGAUAUUGGACAAGAUUCGUUUAAGAGGGCACAUGCGUAUUCAUGGGUAAGUUUUUAUGAAAUUCUGGAAAACAGAGUUUGAAAACAGAGUUUGCCACGAAGAUAAGUUAAUGUUGGAAACCAGAGUUUGCCACUUACUACCACUUAUUCACGGACAACAUUGGCAAUUAAUAGUCAUGUGUCCAAGAGACAAUAUUGUGGUCGUCUUUUGUUCACUUCAUCGGGAUACUGAUAAAGCCACGAAGAAAAUUAUUACAACGUAUUUGAUGAUCCUACAGAAUUAACACAAGAAGAUUUGUAUAAUUUGCGACUCCAUUGGACAAAAUGUUUCUUUGAGUUAUAUAAAGAAUAACUUUAUGUUUCUCGUGGAUGCAUGUUGGUUUUUCAAGUGCGCGAAAGGACUUAAAUGGUUGGAUAUUUGUUGUGUUGUUAUUUUGUAGUAGAAAACCGUGUGUGAACCUUUCUUAUCAUUUUGUACACUUGUGUAUCCUAUAUUAAUACUUUUGUAUAUUUUGACGAAUAUAUAUAUGCAUCUUAGCUAUUUGGUGCAAUUAAAUGUGGUCUGUGUGCUGUGGGAAAAAUGAGCAAAAUAGCGACCUAACUUUGGUUUGUGUGGUAUUUGAAUCUUAUAUGGAAAAUUAGGUACAAAAAAAAUUACAGGUUAAAAUAGGAAGAAUAGGAAAAAGAAUAGGAAAA
This is a long non-coding RNA of Vicia villosa (hairy vetch), 1358 nucleotides long. RefSeq lists it as uncharacterized. The transcript has 4 exons. NCBI's taxonomy places the organism in Eukaryota, Viridiplantae, Streptophyta, Magnoliopsida, Fabales, Fabaceae. The record is from RefSeq and is a predicted model, not a curated record.